AGGGAAACCGAGUCUUAACCGGGCGUUAAGUUGCAGGGUAUAGACCCGAAACCCGGUGAUCUAGCCAUGGGCAGGUUGAAGGUUGGGUAACACUAACUGGAGGACCGAACCGACUAAUGUUGAAAAAUUAGCGGAUGACCUGUGGCUGGGGGUGAAAGGCCAAUCAAACCGGGAGAUAGCUGGUUCUCCCCGAAAGCUAUUUAGGUAGCGCCUCGUGAAUUCAUCUCCGGGGGUAGAGCACUGUUUCGGCUAGGGGGCCAUCCCGGCUUACCAACCCGAUGCAAACUGCGAAUACCGGAGAAUGUUAUCACGGGAGACACACGGCGGGUGCUAACGUCCGUCGUGAAGAGGGAAACAACCCAGACCGCCAGCUAAGGUCCCAAAGUCAUGGUUAAGUGGGAAACGAUGUGGGAAGGCCCAGACAGCCAGGAUGUUGGCUUAGAAGCAGCCAUCAUUUAAAGAAAGCGUAAUAGCUCACUGGUCGAGUCGGCCUGCGCGGAAGAUGUAACGGGGCUAAACCAUGCACCGAAGCUGCGGCAGCGACGCUGAUGCGUUGUUGGGUAGGGGAGCGUUCUGUAAGCCUGUGAAGGUGGCCUGUGAGGGUUGCUGGAGGUAUCAGAAGUGCGAAUGCUGACAUAAGUAACGAUAAAGCGGGUGAAAAGCCCGCUCGCCGGAAGACCAAGGGUUCCUGUCCAACGUUAAUCGGGGCAGGGUGAGUCGACCCCUAAGGCGAGGCCGAAAGGCGUAGUCGAUGGGAAACGGGUUAAUAUUCCCGUACUUGGUGUUACUGCGAAGGGGGGACGGAGAAGGCUAUGUUGGCCGGGCGACGGUUGUCCCGGUUUAAGCGUGUAGGUGUGUGUUCCAGGUAAAUCCGGUUCACUUUAACACUGAGGCGUGAUGACGAGGCACUACGGUGCUGAAGCAACAAAUGCCCUGCUUCCAGGAAAAGCCUCUAAGCAUCAGGUAACAUCAAAUCGUACCCCAAACCGACACAGGUGGUCAGGUAGAGAAUACCAAGGCGCUUGAGAGAACUCGGGUGAAGGAACUAGGCAAAAUGGUGCCGUAACUUCGGGAGAAGGCACGCUGACAC
Molecule: ribosomal RNA, 1090 nt
Filed under: Salmonella enterica subsp. enterica serovar Kentucky
Lineage: Bacteria; Pseudomonadati; Pseudomonadota; Gammaproteobacteria; Enterobacterales; Enterobacteriaceae
Description: partial 23S ribosomal RNA
Rfam family: Bacterial large subunit ribosomal RNA
Source: RNAcentral